Kogia breviceps (pygmy sperm whale) is the source of this 1110-nucleotide long non-coding RNA. RefSeq lists it as uncharacterized. Lineage: Eukaryota; Metazoa; Chordata; Mammalia; Artiodactyla; Physeteridae. The record is from RefSeq and is a predicted model, not a curated record.
AGAUAAAGUGACGCGCGGGUGACCUGGGAGCUUGGAGGCUUGAGCUCUGGAGGCUCCAUCCUUCAAUAGCACUUAUCUACCCAACAACCGGGCUGGGGGAGCAGUAGUGUCUCCAUGGCAUAAACGAAGAAACUGUGACUCAGAGAGGCUGAGUAAACUGCUUGAUGCCGUACAGCUACAUACAGUGAUUAAUGUGAGAUACAGACUUGGAUUUGUCUGGCUCCAAAAUCUCUGUUCCUUCCUUGACAAUAAAACAAAGGAGAAGAAGAGCGAGAGAUACAUUACUGGCAUCAUCACUGAACUCCUCUGAACUCCAUUCUCAUAGGGAAGUGAUAACGUGAUGGUACGUCUAGAUGGCCAGGUGAAAACCGAGCACUGCUGAGCGAGCCCCAAGGAAAAGUGCAGCCUCCACACGAAGUUUUAUUAUUGGCUUCUGAGGAAGUGAAUGCUCUUCAUGAUCCACAUUGAUCCAAGUCUACCAUUUUAUCUAUGAACCAGCUCAAAAGUUACCUCUGCCUAAAUGCCUUACCUGACCAGUUCAACUCCAGCCUGUUUACCUGUUUACAGAAAGUUCUUUCACUACUUAUAUGUGAUGUGUACUAUAUUAUUUCAACAUUCAGAAAUUUACUUAUUCAUUCAGCAAAUAUUUACUACGUUCAAGCCCAGUGUUAUGCAAUGCGAAGUUGCAAAGAUGCCUCAGACACAUCAUGUCUUCAAGAAAUGUAUAGUAUUUAGAAGGAAAGCAUACAUACACAUAUCUGGCAGUAUUAGUGAGUACCACAGGUAGUAGUAAUAAGUACCACAAAAAUGUACAGACAGAAUAAUACAGGAGCUCAGAGGAAAGAGAACCUAUUUUAAGCUGAGGCUUCUUGGAUUAGGUUGCCGUUUGAAUGGGGCCUUAAUGGGCAGAUAGAAUUUGAACACCUGUUAACUUAUUGCUUUGUGUUAUUUCCAUUGUAGACUACAUAGCAUAUCUACAUGAAUAGCAUCAGCUUUUUCCUCACUGAAGACUUCAGUGAGGAAUAAGCAAGGCUUUGCAGUGCCCUCAAAGAAAAUAUACUCCACAGAGCAUAAGGUGGGUUUUACAUCACACAUUAAAAGAGCAUCUUU